ACUGACAGCCAUGGUUACCGCGGCUGCUGGCACGGAGUUAGCCGGUGCUUCUUCUGUGAGUGAUGUCCUUCCUGCCGGCUAUUAACCCGCAGGCCUUCUUCCUCACUGAAAGUGCUUUACAACCCGAAGGCCUUCUUCACACACGCGGCAUGGCUGGAUCAGGGUUGCCCCCAUUGUCCAAUAUUACCCCACUGCUGCCUCCCGUAGGAGUCUGGGCCGUGUCUCAGUCCCAGUGUGGCUGAUCAUCCUCUCAGACCAGCUACGGAUCGUCGCCUUGGUGAGCCGUUACCUCACCAACCAGCUAAUCCGACAUAGGCUCAUCCGAUAGCGCGAGGCCCGAAGGUCCCCCGCUUUCCCCCGUAGGGCGUAUGCGGUAUUAGCCUGGGUUUCCCCAGGUUAUCCCCCACUACCGGGCAGAUUCCUAUGCAUUACUCACCCGUCCGCCGCUCGCCACCAGGGAGCAAGCUCCCCGUGCUGCCGCUCGACUUGCAUGUGUUAGGCCUGCCGCCAGCGUUCAAU
This 519-nucleotide ribosomal RNA is filed under the name uncultured bacterium. Its description in RNAcentral is "partial 16S ribosomal RNA". The record is from RNAcentral.